GAUGAACGCUGGCGGCGUGCCUAAUACAUGCAAGUCGAACGGAGAUUGUAGCAAUACAUUCUUAGUGGCGAACGGGUGAGUAACGCGUUGGUGACCUGCCCCAAAGUGAGGGAUAACAGCCCGAAAGGGUUGCUAAUACCUCAUGUGGUCUUUGAGAUUAGAUGCUCUUAGACUAAAGGAUUUAUUCGCUUUGGGAGGGGCCUGCGUCCCAUCAGCUUGUUGGUGAGGUAAUGGCUUACCAAGGCUAUGACGGGUAGGGGACCUGAGAGGGUGACCCCCCACAAUGGAACUGAAACACGGUCCAGACUCCUACGGGAGGCAGCAGUGGGGAAUUUUGGACAAUGGGCGCAAGCCUGAUCCAGCCAUUCCGCGUGCAGGGAUGAAGGCCUUCGGGUUGUAAACUGUCUUUUGUACGGAACGAAACGGUCUGCCUAAUACGGCGGGCGUAAUGUACGGUACCGUAAGAAUAAGACACCGGCUAACUACGUGCCACGCAGCCGCGGUAACUACGUACUACU
RNAcentral lists this ribosomal RNA (518 nucleotides) under uncultured bacterium. RNAcentral describes it as "bacterial SSU rRNA". It matches the Rfam family "Bacterial small subunit ribosomal RNA", at positions 28 to 534 of the family's 1533-position model. The record is from RNAcentral.